GGUCAAGUGAAUAAGCGCAUUCGGUGGAUGCCUUGGCAGCUGAAGGCGAUGAAGGACGUGGCUACCUGCGAUAAGCCUCGGGGAGUCGGAAACAGACUUUGAUCCGGGGAUUUCCGAAUGGGGAAACCCAGCCAGUGUUACAUUGGUUAUCGCGCACUGAAUCCAUAGGUGUGCGAGGCGAACCCGGGGAACUGAAAUAUCUAAGUACCCGGAGGAAAAGAAAUCAACCGAGAUUCCCCUAGUAGCGAUGAGCGAACGGGGACCAGCCCUUAAGCGGAUCGGCAAUGCGGUGAACCCGGCGUUUCGGCGCCAAGGCGAACCGCGCGUUAGCGGAAGCGUUUGGAAAGACGCGCCAUAGUGGGUGAUAGCCCCGUAUGCGAAAACGGCCGUUUCGUGAAAUCGAGUAGGGCGGGACACGUGAAAUCCUGUCUGAACAUGGGGGGACCAUCCUCCAAGGCUAAAUACUCUCAGCUGACCGAUAGUGAACCAGUACCGUGAGGGAAAGGCGAAAAGUACCCCUGCUAGGGGAGUGAAAUAGUAUCCUGAAACCGAGUGCGUACAAGCAGUGGGAGCCGUUGGAACGUUUAUUCGAUCGCGCCUUCGGGCAUGAUCGGGGGCUGUUCCUUGGUGACUGCGUACCUUUUGUAUAAUGGGUCAGCGACUUACUUUUACUGGCGAGGUUAACCGUUUAGGGGAGCCGUAGGGAAACCGAGUCUCAAAUGGGCGUAUGCGUGCCUUCGGGCACGUUGUAGUCGGUAGGAGUAGACCCGAAACCGGGCGAGCUAGCCAUGGGCAGGGUGAAGGUCAGGUAACACUGACUGAAGGCCCGAACCCACCUAUGUUGAAAAAUGGGGGGAUGACCUGUGGCUAGGAGUGAAAGGCUAAUCAAGCCCGGAGAUAUCUGGUUCUCCUCGAAAACUAUUUAGGUAGUGCCUCUCGUAUCACCAUCGGGGGUAGAGCACUGUUUGGGCUAGGGGGUCACCUCGACUUACCAACCCCAUGCAAACUCCGAAUACCGAUGAGUGCAGCGAGGGAGACAGACGGCGGGUGCUAACGUCCGUCGUCGAAAGGGAAACAACCCGGACCGCCAGCUAAGGUCCCUAAGUCAUGGUUAAGUGGGAAACGAUGUGGGAAGGCCCAGACAGCCAGGAGGUUGGCUUAGAAGCAGCCAUCCUUUAAAGAAAGCGUAAUAGCUCACUGGUCGAGUCGGCCUGCGCGGAAGAUGUAACGGGGCUCAAACUGUCCACCGAAGCUGCGGAUGCCACGCCUUAGGGUGCGGCAUGGUAGAGGAGCGUUCUGUACGCCUGUGAAGGCGGACCGUGAGGUCCGUUGGAGGUAUCAGAAGUGCGAAUGCUGACAUGAGUAACGAUAAAGGAGGUGAAAGUCCUCCUCGCCGAAAGACCAAGGGUUCCUGUGCUACGUUCAUCGGCACAGGGUAAGUCGGCCCCUAAGGCGAGGCCGAAAGGCGUAGUCGAUGGGAAGCUGG
This 1486-nucleotide ribosomal RNA is filed under the name Gemmatimonadota bacterium. RNAcentral describes it as "partial 23S ribosomal RNA". It matches the Rfam family "Bacterial large subunit ribosomal RNA", at positions 1 to 1429 of the family's 2925-position model. The record is from RNAcentral. Lineage: Bacteria; Pseudomonadati; Gemmatimonadota.